Molecule: ribosomal RNA, 457 nt
Filed under: uncultured bacterium
Lineage: Bacteria
Description: bacterial SSU rRNA
Rfam family: Bacterial small subunit ribosomal RNA
Source: RNAcentral
AGUAGUUUGACUCCGUGGCUACAGAACGAACGCUGGCGGCAGGCCUAACACAUGCAAGUCGAACGCCCUAGCAAUAGGGAGUGGCAGACGGGUGAGUAACACGUGGGAACCUUCCCUAUAGUACGGAAUAGCCCAGGGAAACUUGGAGUAAUACCGUAUACGCCCGAGAGGGGAAAGAUUUAUCGCUAUAGGAUGGGCCCGCGUUGGAUUAGCUAGUUGGUGAGGUAAUGGCUCACCAAGGCGACGAUCCAUAGCUGGUCUGAGAGGACGACCAGCCACACUGGGACUGAGACACGGCCCAGACUCCUACGGGAGGCAGCAGUGGGGAAUAUUGGACAAUGGGCGCAAGCCUGAUCCAGCCAUGCCGCGUGAGUGAUGAAGGCCUUAGGGUUGUAAAGCUCUUUUGGCGGGGACGAUAAUGACGGUACCCGGAGAAGAAGCCCCGGCUAACUUCGUG